UACAGAGACUGCAAGCGUUAUUCGGAUUCACUGGGCGUAAAGAGCACGCAGGCGGUUUGGCAAGUCGGAUGUGAAAGCCCGGAGCUCAACUCCGGACCUGCAUCCGAAACUGCCCGACUAGAGGUAGGUAGGGGAGAUCGGAAUUCCUGGUGUAGCGGUGAAAUGCGCAGAUAUCAGGAGGAACACCGGUGGCGAAGGCGGAUCUCUGGGCCUUACCUGACGCUCAGGUGCGAAAGCUAGGGGAGCGAACAGG
This 253-nucleotide ribosomal RNA is filed under the name uncultured bacterium. RNAcentral describes it as "partial 16S ribosomal RNA". It matches the Rfam family "Bacterial small subunit ribosomal RNA", at positions 524 to 776 of the family's 1533-position model. The record is from RNAcentral.